GUAACAAGGUCUCCGUUGGUGAACCAGCGGAGGGAUCAUUACCGAGUUUACAACUCCCAAACCCAUGUGAACAUACCUAUUGUUGCUUCGGCGGGAUUGCCCCGGGCGCCUCGUGUGCCCCGGAUCCGGCGCCCGCCUAGGAACUUUAACUCUUGUUUUAUUUUGAAUCUUCUGAGUAGUUUUUACAAAUAAAUAAAAACUUUCAACAACGGAUCUCUUGGUUCUGGCAUCGAUGAAGAACGCAGCGAAAUGCGAUAAGUAAUGUGAAUUGCAGAAUUCAGUGAAUCAUCGAAUCUUUGAACGCACAUUGCGCCCGCCAGUAUUCUGGCGGGCAUGCCUGUCUGAGCGUCAUUUCAACCCUCAUGCCCCUAGGGCGUGGUGUUGGGGAUCGGCCAAAGCCCGCGAGGGACGGCCGGCCCCUAAAUCUAGUGGCGGACCCGUCGUGGCCUCCUCUGCGAAGUAGUGAUAUUCCGCAUCGGAGAGCGACGAGCCCCUGCCGUUAAACCCCCAACUUUCCAAGGUUGACCUCAGAUCAGGUAGGAAUACCCGCUGAACCUAAGCA
RNAcentral lists this unclassified non-coding RNA (562 nucleotides) under Clonostachys byssicola. RNAcentral describes it as "sequence contains 18S rRNA gene, ITS1, 5.8S rRNA gene, ITS2, 28S rRNA gene". The stretch from base 198 to 351 matches the Rfam family "5.8S ribosomal RNA". Lineage: Eukaryota; Fungi; Ascomycota; Sordariomycetes; Hypocreales; Bionectriaceae. The record is from RNAcentral.